GCUCAGAUUGAACGCUGGCGGCAGGCCUAACACAUGCAAGUCGAACGGUAACAGAAAGAAGCUUGCUUCUUUGCUGACGAGUGGCGGACGGGUGAGUAAUGUCUGGGAAACUGCCUGAUGGAGGGGGAUAACUACUGGAAACGGUAGCUAAUACCGCAUAACGUCGCAAGACCAAAGAGGGGGACCUUCGGGCCUCUUGCCAUCGGAUGUGCCCAGAUGGGAUUAGCUUGUUGGUGGGGUAACGGCUCACCAAGGCGACGAUCCCUAGCUGGUCUGAGAGGAUGACCAGCCACACUGGAACUGAGACACGGUCCAGACUCCUACGGGAGGCAGCAGUA
RNAcentral lists this ribosomal RNA (338 nucleotides) under uncultured bacterium. RNAcentral's name for it is "bacterial SSU rRNA". It matches the Rfam family "Bacterial small subunit ribosomal RNA", at positions 22 to 356 of the family's 1533-position model. The record is from RNAcentral.